Molecule: transfer RNA, 77 nt
Filed under: Idiomarina sp.
Lineage: Bacteria; Pseudomonadati; Pseudomonadota; Gammaproteobacteria; Alteromonadales; Idiomarinaceae
Also listed under: 1 other name
Description: tRNA-Arg
Rfam family: tRNA
About the family: Transfer RNA (tRNA) molecules are approximately 80 nucleotides in length. Their secondary structure includes four short double-helical elements and three loops (D, anti-codon, and T loops).
Source: RNAcentral
GCGCCCGUAGCUCAGCUGGAUAGAGCGCUGCCCUCCGGAGGCAGAGGCCGCAGGUUCGACUCCUGCCGGGCGCGCCA